AGCAGCCGCGGUAAUUCCAGCUCCAAUAGCGUAUAUUAAAGUUGCUGCAGUUAAAAAGCUCGUAGUUGAAUUUCGGGAUCAAUAUGUUGGUCGUGCCUCGGUACGUACUAGCUUAUUGGUUUCUCCCUUCUGACGAACCAUGAUGUCAUUUAUUUGGUGUUAUGGGAAAUCAGGACUGUUACUUUGAAAAAAUUAGAGUGUUUAAAGCAGGCUCACGCUUGAAUACAUUAGCAUGGAAUAAUGAAAUAGGACGUUUGAUUCUAUUUUGUUGGUUUCUAGGAUCGACGUAAUGAUUAAUAGGGAUAGUUGGGGGCAUUAGUAUUCAAUUGUCAGAGGUGAAAUUCUUGGAUUUAUUGAAGACUAACUACUGCGAAAGCAUUUGCCAAGGAUGUUUUCAUUAAUCAAGAACGAAAGUUAGGGGAUCGAAGACGAUCAGAUACCGUCGUAGUCUUAACCAUAAACUAUGCCGACUAGGGAUCGGAUGAUGUUAAUUUUUAAUG
Molecule: ribosomal RNA, 500 nt
Filed under: uncultured Glomus
Lineage: Eukaryota; Fungi; Glomeromycota; Glomeromycetes; Glomerales; Glomeraceae
Description: SSU rRNA
Rfam family: Eukaryotic small subunit ribosomal RNA
Source: RNAcentral